AAAUUGAAGAGUUUGAUCAUGGCUCAGAUUGAACGCUGGCGGCAGGCCUAACACAUGCAAGUCGAGCGGUAGCACAGAGAGCUUGCUCUCGGGUGACGAGCGGCGGACGGGUGAGUAAUGUCUGGGAAACUGCCUGAUGGAGGGGGAUAACUACUGGAAACGGUAGCUAAUACCGCAUAACGUCGCAAGACCAAAGAGGGGGACCUUCGGGCCUCUUGCCAUCAGAUGUGCCCAGAUGGGAUUAGCUAGUAGGUGGGGUAACGGCUCACCUAGGCGACGAUCCCUAGCUGGUCUGAGAGGAUGACCAGCCACACUGGAACUGAGACACGGUCCAGACUCCUACGGGAGGCAGCAGUGGGGAAUAUUGCACAAUGGGCGCAAGCCUGAUGCAGCCAUGCCGCGUGUAUGAAGAAGGCCUUCGGGUUGUAAAGUACUUUCAGCGGGGAGGAAGGCGUUGAGGUUAAUAACCUCAGCGAUUGACGUUACCCGCAGAAGAAGCACCGGCUAACUCCGUGCCAGCAGCCGCGGUAAUACGGAGGGUGCAAGCGUUAAUCGGAAUUACUGGGCGUAAAGCGCACGCAGGCGGUCUGUCAAGUCGGAUGUGAAAUCCCCGGGCUCAACCUGGGAACUGCAUUCGAAACUGGCAGGCUAGAGUCUUGUAGAGGGGGGUGGAAUUCCAGGUGUAGCGGUGAAAUGCGUAGAGAUCUGGAGGAAUACCGGUGGCGAAGGCGGCCCCCUGGACAAAGACUGACGCUCAGGUGCGAAAGCGUGGGGAGCAAACAGGAUUAGAUACCCUGGUAGUCCACGCCGUAAACGAUGUCGACUUGGAGGUUGUGCCCUUGAGGCGUGGCUUCCGGAGCUAACGCGUUAAGUCGACCGCCUGGGGAGUACGGCCGCAAGGUUAAAACUCAAAUGAAUUGACGGGGGCCCGCACAAGCGGUGGAGCAUGUGGUUUAAUUCGAUGCAACGCGAAGAACCUUACCUACUCUUGACAUCCAGAGAACUUAGCAGAGAUGCUUUGGUGCCUUCGGGAACUCUGAGACAGGUGCUGCAUGGCUGUCGUCAGCUCGUGUUGUGAAAUGUUGGGUUAAGUCCCGCAACGAGCGCAACCCUUAUCCUUUGUUGCCAGCGGUUAGGCCGGGAACUCAAAGGAGACUGCCAGUGAUAAACUGGAGGAAGGUGGGGAUGACGUCAAGUCAUCAUGGCCCUUACGAGUAGGGCUACACACGUGCUACAAUGGCGCAUACAAAGAGAAGCGACCUCGCGAGAGCAAGCGGACCUCAUAAAGUGCGUCGUAGUCCGGAUUGGAGUCUGCAACUCGACUCCAUGAAGUCGGAAUCGCUAGUAAUCGUAGAUCAGAAUGCUACGGUGAAUACGUUCCCGGGCCUUGUACACACCGCCCGUCACACCAUGGGAGUGGGUUGCAAAAGAAGUAGGUAGCUUAACCUUCGGGAGGGCGCUUACCACUUUGUGAUUCAUGACUGGGGUGAAGUCGUAACAAGGUAACCGUAGGGGAACCUGCGGUUGGAUCACCUCCUUACCUUAAAGAA
RNAcentral lists this ribosomal RNA (1550 nucleotides) under Enterobacter asburiae. Its description in RNAcentral is "bacterial SSU rRNA". It matches the Rfam family "Bacterial small subunit ribosomal RNA". Lineage: Bacteria; Pseudomonadati; Pseudomonadota; Gammaproteobacteria; Enterobacterales; Enterobacteriaceae. The record is from RNAcentral.